This 465-nucleotide ribosomal RNA is filed under the name uncultured bacterium. Its description in RNAcentral is "partial 16S ribosomal RNA". It matches the Rfam family "Bacterial small subunit ribosomal RNA", at positions 28 to 506 of the family's 1533-position model. The record is from RNAcentral.
GACGAACGCUGGCGGUGUGCUUAACACAUGCAAGUCGAACGGUAAGGCCCUUUCGGGGGUACACGAGUGGCGAACGGGUGAGUAACACGUGAGUAACCUGCCCUCAUCUCUGGGAUAACAGUCGGAAACGGUUGCUAAUACUGGAUAUGAGCUUGCAAGGCAUCUUGUGGGUUGGAAAGAUUUUUUUGGUUGGGGAUGGACUCGCGGCCUAUCAGCUUGUUGGUGAGGUAGUGGCUCACCAAGGCUUCGACGGGUAGCCGGCCUGAGAGGGCGACCGGCCACAUUGGGACUGAGAAACGGCCCAACCCCCUGCGGGAGGAAACGGUGGGGAAUAUUGCAAAAUGGGCGGAAGUCGGGUGCAGCAACCCCGCGUGCGGGAUGACGGCCUUCGGUUUGUAACCCGCUUUCAAUGGUGACGAACCUUUUUGGGACGGUAGCAGUAAAAGAAGCACCGGCUAACUACGU